RNAcentral lists this long non-coding RNA (6542 nucleotides) under Homo sapiens (human). Its description in RNAcentral is "HSALNT0297734". The record is from RNAcentral. Lineage: Eukaryota; Metazoa; Chordata; Mammalia; Primates; Hominidae.
CUCCCAAGUAGCUGGGAUUACAGGCAUGUGCCACCAUGCCCAGAUGAGCCCUCAAUGGACUGAACGAUGCUCACCCACACUGUGAGGGCUGGUCUUCUUUAUUCAAUCCACUGACUUAAGUGCUGAUCUCUUCUGGAAACACCUUCACAGACACACCCAGAAAUAAUGUUCUACCAGCCAUGGGCCUGUUACUUAGCCCAGUCAAGUUGACACAGAAAAUUAGCUAUCACAACAUCUGUGUGUGUAUAUACAUAUGUAUUUGCAUGUGUGUGUAUAUAUGUGUAUAUAUAUUCAUGUGUGUGUAUAUGUGUGUAUGUUGUGACUGGGUGUAUACACAUCCAUAUACAUAAAAUAUUUCAAUAUAUUAUAUUUUGUAUAUAUGUUAUAUAUGUUAUAUAUUAUAUAGUAAUAUAAAAUAUAUUUAAGACAUUUUUAUAAUCUAUAUUGUUAUACAUUAUGUAAAUAUAUGUAUAUAUAAAUUAUAUACUUAUAAAUGUUAUAUGUUAUGUAUAUUAUAUAUGCUAUAUGUAUUAUAUGUUAUGUCAUAUAUAAUUUAUUGAAUAUAUUUAUAGUAUAUGAAACAUAUAUAGUCUGUCUUCUUGGAAAAGCAUACAAACAAUGAGACUCCAGAUCCAGAUUUCUUUUUUUUUUUGAGACAGAGUCUUACUCUGUCACCCAGGCAGGAGUGUGGUGGUGUGAUCUUCGCUCACUGCAACCUCUGCCUCCUGAGUUCAAGCAAUUCUCCUGCCUCAGCCUUCGGAGUAGCUGGGAUUACAGGCAAGCACCACUACGCCUGGCUAAUUUUUGUAUUCAGAUCCAGAUUUCUAAAUGUCUUUCUCCAGUUAAAAAAAAAAUAGGGCUCCUGGGAGAAAUGGCUGAUUUCUGGGCUAGGGUAGGGAAAGUAAAAGAUGAACCUGGAAAUAUCUUGUGGUAUCACAAAUUAAGUGUUCUGAAAAUAAGUGCUGAAAAAAUUAUUGUGACAUGUCAAAUGGAUUCAGAAGCCAACAUGAACAAGCUCCCACUGACCAAAUCUGAAACAAUUACAGCAAAUAAAUAAAUAAAUAACGAUGGCAAUGGAUCAUAGCACAUAGAAUAAAAUAAGAAUUUGAGUCCAUACUGAUAUAAUUGAAUAAUAAAGAGAAGAAAGACACCUUCUUUAUAGCAAGAUUCCAAUUACCUACAUGUAGUAAAAAUGAUGCAAUUAGAAAGUCAGCAUUUGGCAACCAUCACAGUAAUAAUUAUUUCAGGCAAGAAUCAAUGAAUGCUAAAUCAGUAAAAGUCUGAUGAGAAAUAAUUAUAUACUCUUCAAUUUUUUCUCCACAAAAUACUUAAUUGCAAAUAAUAACUUUGCGGAAGAAAAACCUGACAGACACUAUUUUAGCCAAGUGAUCAAAACUAACAUCACUGAUAUUGGGACAAAUAACACCUAGUUCCUCCUGAUAGGAUACAUUGAAAAGAACUCUGUCAUUUCUGUGUGAUUGUUGCCAAAAAUCAUAAUCUGAAUCAAAAUAUGAGGAAGUAUCCGAAAAAAGACAACUUGACCGUCAUCCUACAAAAUACCUCUUCCAGAGUGGAAAGGUAGUGAAAAUCAAGUAGAAGAAGGGAAAUAGAAAUUUAAAAAAUUAAGAAAUGAAAUAAUAAAGGUAAGUGUAAAAAUUAAAAUAGAAAACAAAAAUAAUAGUGAAAAUGAAAUCAAAAGCUGGGUCUUUAAAAAAAAUAAAAUUGAUAAACUUCCAUUUAGAUGGGUAAAGAAUAAAGAGAUAAGACAGAAAUUGCCACCCAUGAACUUUUAGUAAUGCAACAGAAUACAUCACUCACUGCAGAGCAUAAUCAUUGGAAGAAAAAUAUGAGAAUAUGGCAGGCAACUUUAUGCCAAUAAAUUCAAUAAACUGGGGAUCACGAUUAUGAUCAACAUUCACUUUUGAAAGGGCCAUGGAGGAAAAUGAACCAGGAAGAUCCUCCCUGGGGCAGAGCUACCACUGGAUGAAAUGAACAAUUCAUUGAAAGACACAAAUUACCAAAACUAACCCAAUAAGCAAUAUAAAACUUGAAUUGCCCUAUUAAUUCAAGAAAUUGCAUUUUUAAUUAAAAAUCUUUCCAAAAAGAAAAAUUCAUGCCUAAAUGGCUUCACUUGUAAACUCUAGCAUUUAAGGAAGAAAUAAAACCAAUUGUACACAAACUCUUUGAGAAAAUAGAAAAUACUUCCAAACUCAUUUCAUGAGGCCAAAUAUAUUAAAAAACUACAGACAAAUAUCCCUCAUGAAUAUAGACACAAAUAUACUUAACAAAAUUUUAACAAAACAAAUUAGUAUAUGUAAAAGAAUACUUACUAUACAUCAUGAUGGAAUGAGGUUUAUCUGGGGAGUGAAAGGUUGGUUUGACAUCCAAAAAUUAAUCAAUGUAAUUCACCAUAUUAGAAUAAAGAAGAAAAUAUAAUCAUUUCAAUAAAUGCAGGAAAAGCUUUUUGUAAAGUUCAACACUAAUUUGUGAUUUCAAAAAAUCUAUCAGCAAACUAAGAAUAAAAGAAACAUUUCUCUUAAUCUAAUUAAGGGCAUCUUCAAAAACCUACAUCUUUCACUGUACUCAAUAUUGAAAGCCUCAAUGCUUUCUACCUAAGAUAAGGAACAAGGCAGGGAUAUCUAUUCUGCCAUUUCUGUUCAACAUUAUACUGGAAGUUUUAGCCAGUGCAGUAAGGCAAGAAAAAGAAAUGACAGUCAAUAAAUUGGAAAGGGAGAAGAAAGUCGUUUUUAUUGGUAGAUGACAUGACCAAGUAUUAAUACAUAGAAAGCUUAAAGAGUCUACUAGAACUAAUAAGUGAAUUUAUUGAGGUCAGAAUACAAUGUUAAUGUAUAAAAAUUAUAAUUUUAUGUAUUAGCAAUGAACAAUUAGAAAAUGAAUUUCGAAAACAACUUCAUUUCCAACAGCAUCCAAAAACAUGUUAGAGAUAAAUUUUACAAAACAUGGAAGAUAGUUUCUUUUCCUGUGCAGAAGCGCUUUAGUUUAAUUAGAUCCCAUUUUUCAUAAAAAAAGAAUGAGAUCAUGUCCUUUGCAGGGACAUGAAUGAAGCUGGAAGCCAACAUUCUCAGCAAACUAACACAGGAACGGAAAACCAAACACCACAUGUUUUCACUCAUAAGUGGGAGUUCAACAAUGAGAACAGAUGGACACAGGGAGGGGAACAUCACACACCAGGGCCUGUCAGGGAGUGGGGGGCAAGGAGAAGGAGAGCAUUAGGACAAAUACCUAAUACAUGCGGGGCUUAAAACCUAGAUGACAGGUUGAUGGCUGCAGCAAACCACCAUGGCACAUAUAUGCCUAUGUAACAAACCUGCAUGUUCUGCACAUGUAUCCCAGAACUUAAAGUAACAUUUUUUAAAAACGGAAGAAUUCUAUUUAAAAAAAAAAAACUAUAAAUUUUGCUGAGAGAAAUUACAGACUUAAGUAAAUGUUAUUAACAUCAUUUUCGUGGGUUGGAACACUCAAUAUUGUUAAGAUAGCAAUUCUCCACACAUCAAUUUAUAACUCCAAUAGAUAUUUUUAAAAAGUGAUUCCAAAUUUAUAUUAAAAUGAAUUGCCUCUCUUAAACCUCCCUUAUAAUUUUUUUAAAAGAUUUCAGAAGACUAAACACUAUAUUACACAGACUCCAUUGAAGCUAGGAGUCUAGGAGAAAAUUUGAUCUACAACGUAACAAGCAGUUAUGUGAUAUUUAUUUGGAGGUCAGAAUUAAGGUGUAGGUCAACUUCCUACUGCUGCUUCUAUUUCCAGCAAGAUAAGAUCAGCCACAGGUGAUUGUGGUGGUCUUUUUCUACUUUCAUUUAUCUAGUCAUCAACUUUAUGGGAAUAAAAAUCUGCGGUAGUGUGUCUGGAAUUGCUGGGUUCUUGGUCUCGCUGACUUCAAGAAUGAAGCCGCAGACCCUCACGGUGAGUGUUACAGUUCUUAAAGAUGAUGUGUCUGGAGUUUCUUCUUACUGGUGGGUUUGUGGUCUCGCUGACUUCAGGAUUGAAGCUGCAGACCUUCACAGUGAGUGUUACAGCUCUUAAAGGCGGCGCGUCUGGAGUUGUUUGUUCCCUUCAGUGGGUUCGUGGUCUCGCUGGCCUCAGGAAUGAAGCUGCAGACCUUCGUGGUGAGUGUUACAGCUCAUAAGGGUGGUGCGGACCCAAAGGGUGAGCAGCAGCAAGAUUUAUUGUGAAGAGCAAAAGAACAAAGCUACCACACAGUGGAAAAGGACCCAACUGGGUUGCCGCUGCUGGCGGGGGCAGCCUGCUUUUAUUCCCUUAUCUGGCCCCACCCACAUCCUGGCGAUUGGUCCAUUGUACAGAGAGAUGAUUGUUCCAUUUUACAGAGAGCUGAUUGGCCCAUUUUACGGAGAGCUGAUUGUUCUGUUUUGACAGGGUGCUGAUUGGUGCGUUUAGAAACCUGGAGCUAGACAGAGUACUGAUUGGUGCAUUUACAAUCCUUUAGCUAGACACAAAAGUUCUCCAAGUCCCCACUAGAAUAGGUAGACACAGAGCACUGAUUGGUGUCUUUACACACCUUGAGCUAGACACAGAACGCUGAUUGGUGCAUUUACAAACCUUUAGCUAGACAUUAAAAUUCUCCAAAUCCCCACCUGACUCAGGAGACCAGCUGGCUUCUCCUAGUGGAUCCUGCCCUGGGCAGAGCUGCCCGCCAGUCGCACGCUGCGGCGUGGGCACUCCUCAGCCCUUGGGCAGUCGAUGGGACCAGGCGUGGCAGAGCAGGGGGCAGCACCCAUCUGGGAGGCUCAGGCCACGCAGGAGCCCACCGGUAGGGGGGCUCAGGCAUGGUGGGCUGCAGGUCCCGAGCCCUGCCCCGCAGGGAGGUGGCUGAGGCCUGGGAGAAUUUGAGCGCGGCACGGGCGGGCCGGCAGUGCUGAGGGACCUGGCGCACCCUCCACAGCUGCUGGCCCGGGUGCUAAGCCCCUCACUGCCCGGGGCUGGCAGCACCAGCCGGCUGCUCUGAGUGUGGGGCCCGCUGUGCCUUACCCACCCAGAACUGGCGCUGGUCUGCGAGCGCGGCAUGCAGCCCCGGUUCCUGCCUGCGCCUCUCCCUCCACACCUCCCGGCAAGCAGAGGGAGCCGGCUCCGGCCCGGCCAGCCCAGAGAGGGGCUCCCACAGUGCAGCGGCGGGCUGAAGGGCUCCUCAAGCAUGGCCAGAGCGGACACGGAGGCCGAGGAGGCGCCGAGAGUGAACGAGGGCUGCUAGCACGUUGUCACCUCUCAGUAGGAGAGCGAUUGUAGCAGCAGCAGAUUCCUGAACUCCAUGAUUUCGAUGGUGUGAUCCUGAAGUCAGUUGUUCAGAGGCAGUUCUCUAACAUUUCCAGCUUUCUUUCAAAGAAACUAAGAGGGAUUUUUGUUUUCUUCACUGAAAUUUGGCUAAUCCAAUAUUCCACAACUCUUAACUAUUUUUAUUUCAGUUUCCUUCCCCUUAGCUAAUCAAUUAAGUUAAUCCACUAAGUUCAUCAGUGCCUUCCAGUCCACUGAUUCUCUCUCAACAUUCACUUUUGAAAGGGCCAUGGAGGAAAAUGAACCAGGAAGAUCCUCCCUGGGGCAGAGCUACCACACUAGAGGCACACAGUAUUGAGUAUAAUGAGACUUACAGAGAAGAAUAUAGCAAUCUGGGGAAGCAGACCACACUUACUGAAAGUAGCACUGCAGAAGUAGUGUUUAUUAAUUUAGAUUGUAAUUUGAAAUUGCCACAUUAUUCAUUUCUAAGAUUUCAAAUUGCUUUAUAUCUGACAGUUUGUACUUCAGACCUGCCUAUUUUUGUUUUACAGGUCCUAUUUAGUUACUAAUGGAUAUUGAUCCUUUAUUUCUCAGAUUUGUUUUGAUAUGUUUAUCACAUUUUUCUAUUAAGAGAAAUUCCACUUAGAGUCAGUUCCUUUCCAAAGUUGAUUUUGUUGGCUCUCUCUCAUGGCAUUGCAUUUCUUCACAUUUUACAGUUGUGAUUUGCAAGUUUUUUAAGUAGACUUUUUAGUUUGUUUCAUUCUUUGGUAGAUUGUAUUAAUGUUUCUAAUUCUUUACUCCUUCCCUUUUACAGAAUUAUAACUGGACAUCUUUUGCCAGGUGACUUUUCAGUGCCUUCCACUAUAGUAGAUGGAAUAUACUUCCCCACUCCAUUGAGUCCAUUUUUUGUUGGCUAACCUGUAGUUUUAAGAUUGUAAUUUUUUUAAAUCUAGUUACCUUGAUUGCUUUUUAGAGAGCUAUUAGUCCCAAUAACUUAGACCACCAUUAUUUAAAAAUGGAAUUCCUAACCACAAUGUGUGCACCUCAUCAUAGGAAGGAACACAAAUGGGGGAGUAGAAGAAAACAGAAAUGUAUUAAUAGGCGACAGUGAGUACUUCAGCUUUAUGUGUAAUGUUUUAUUUCUUGUAUUACAAAGUAAAAGAUAUGAAGCAUUUGACUAAAAAUGUUAAUUUAUAUAAUUUGAAUGAUGGGUACAUGGGCAGUUGUUAUAUUUAUAUAUACUUUUAUGUAUUCUAAAUUUUUUUCUCAAAAUAAAAAAGAGAAACAGUCAAGGGUUA